UACGUAGGGUGCAAGCGUUAAUCGGAAUUACUGGGCGUAAAGCGUGCGCAGGCGGUUUUGUAAGACAGGCGUGAAAUCCCCGGGCUCAACCUGGGAAUGGCGCUUGUGACUGCAAAGCUGGAGUGCGGCAGAGGGGGAUGGAAUUCCGCGUGUAGCAGUGAAAUGCGUAGAUAUGCGGAGGAACACCGAAUGGCGAAGGCAAGUCCCCUCGGUCGGUCGNGUACUGACGCUCAUGCACGAAAGCGUGGGGAGCAAACAGGAUUAGAACCUACCG
Molecule: ribosomal RNA, 274 nt
Filed under: uncultured bacterium
Lineage: Bacteria
Description: partial 16S ribosomal RNA
Rfam family: Bacterial small subunit ribosomal RNA
Source: RNAcentral